Molecule: ribosomal RNA, 406 nt
Filed under: uncultured bacterium
Lineage: Bacteria
Description: partial 16S ribosomal RNA
Rfam family: Bacterial small subunit ribosomal RNA
Source: RNAcentral
AUUGAACGCUGGCGGCAGGCCUAACACAUGCAAGUCGAGCGAGCGGCGGACGGGUGAGUAAUAUCUGGGAAACUGCCUGAUGUAGGGGGAUAACGCCUGGAAACGGUAGUUAAAAACGCAUACUAUCAGAGGUGUGCAGAGGGGUGUAGCUAGUUGGUGGGGGAACGGCUCACCUAGGCGACGAUCCCUAGCUGGUCGGAGAGGAUGACAAGCCACAUUGGAACUGGGACACGGUCCAGACCCCUACGGGAGGCAGCAGUGGGGACUAUGGCACAAUGGGCGCAAGCCGGAUGCAGCCAUGCGGCGUGUGUGAAGAAGGCCUUCGGGUUGUAAAGCACUUUCAGCGGGGAGGCGUUACCCGCAGAAGAAGCACCGGCUAACUCCGUGCCAGCAGCCGCGGUAAUAC